RNAcentral lists this ribosomal RNA (1386 nucleotides) under uncultured bacterium. Its description in RNAcentral is "bacterial SSU rRNA". It matches the Rfam family "Bacterial small subunit ribosomal RNA". The record is from RNAcentral.
AGAGUUUGAUCCUGGCUCAGGAUGAACGCUGGCGGCAUGCCUAAUACAUGCAAGUCGAACGAGGGUCCUUCGGGACUCGAGUGGCGAACGGGUGAGUAACACGUAGGGAACCUGCCCGUGCGACCGGGAGAACUUUCGGAAACGGAAGCUGAUACCGGAUAGGGACAGAGACGGCAUCGACUCUGUGUUAAAGGAGCUGAAAGGCUCCGCGCACGGAUGGACCUGCGGUGCAUUAGCUAGUUGGUGAGGUAACGGCCCACCAAGGCGACGAUGCAUAGCCGGCCUGAGAGGGCGGACGGCCACACUGGGACUGAGACACGGCCCAGACUCCUACGGGAGGCAGCAGUAGGGAAUUUUCGUCAAUGGGCGCAAGCCUGAACGAGCAAUGCCGCGUGAACGAGGAAGGUCUUCGGAUCGUAAAGUUCUGUUGAAGGGGAAAAAGAGCGGAGAGAGGAAAUGAACUCCGAUUGAUAUUACCCUUCGAGGAAGUCACGGCUAACUACGUGCCAGCAGCCGCGGUAAUACGUAGGUGGCGAGCGUUAUCCGGAAUGAUUGGGCGUAAAGGGUGCGUAGGCGGCCUGCUAAGUCUGGAGUGAAAGGUACCGGCUCAACCGGUACAGGCUCUGGAAACUGGCGGGCUAGAGAGCAGGAGAGGGCGGUGGAACUCCAUGUGUAGCGGUAAAAUGCGUAGAUAUAUGGAAGAACACCAGUGGCGAAGGCGGCCGCCUGGCCUGUUACUGACGCUGAGGCACGAAAGCGUGGGGAGCAAAUAGGAUUAGAUACCCUAGUAGUCCACGCCGUAAACGAUGAGGACCAAGUGUUGGGGAAGACCCAGUGCUGCAGUUAACGCAGUGAGUCCUCCGCCUGGGGAGUAUGCACGCAAGUGUGAAACUCAAAGGAAUUGACGGGAGCCCGCACAAGCGGUGGAGUAUGUGGUUUAAUUCGAAGCAACGCGAAGAACCUUACCAGGCCUUGACAUAGGGUGCGAAGCUAUGGAGACAUAGUGGAGGUAAACAUCCAUACAGGUGGUGCAUGGUUGUCGUCAGCUCGUGUCGUGAGAUGUUCAGUUAAGUCUGGCAACGAGCGCAACCCUCGUGAUGUGUUACCAAUAUCGAGUUAGGGACUCACAUCAGACUGCCGGUGAGAAACCGGAGGAAGGCGGGGAUGACGUCAAAUCAUCAUGCCCCUUAUGGCCUGGGCUACACACGUACUACAAUGGCGGCGACAGAGGGCAGCGAGCCUGCGAAGGCAAGCGAAUCCCCAAAAAGCCGUCCCAGUUCGGAUUGGAGUCUGCAACCCGACUCCAUGAAGUUGGAAUCGCUAGUAAUCGCGGAUCAGCAUGCCGCGGUGAAUACGUUCUCGGGCCUUGCACACACCGCCCGUCAA